Non-coding RNA from Oryctolagus cuniculus (rabbit), 1960 nucleotides. The record is from RefSeq and is a predicted model, not a curated record. Lineage: Eukaryota; Metazoa; Chordata; Mammalia; Lagomorpha; Leporidae.
UGAAGUCCUUGGUCCUUAUAGUAAUGGGGGAAAAUCCUGCCACUCAGAUCUUGCCUUGGAAUGUUGUUGGAAUUCAGAUUCUAAAUCCAGCUCCAGAAGGUUGGGAUUACAUGAAGCAUUAGAAGGACUGUCAUGAACCAUGUGGGAGACCCGGAUUCCGUUCCUGCUCCUGGCUUCAGCCUGGCCCAGCCCCAGUUAAUGCCAGCAUUUGUCUCUCGCCAGUGCCUUCCAUUGACCAAUCCCCCUGAGAGCCAGAGGGCAACAGAGCUUAAGAAUGCAGUUCCCUUAGGAAUGGAGUUAAGAAGAGCAAGAAGGCACAUGACUAGCAAGGCCCAGGCAUAGAAAUUGCUGCAGGGGAAUCUUGAUUAUCAAUGUGAUCAGCCCUUUCUCUGGAGUCUGGAGGGCAUAAGUAGCAGGAAGCUCACUGUGAACUGCCUAGAAAACUUUGUAUUCGAAAAGGGUUCAUUUUGUAUCCUUAUUAUCAAGGAUAUUUUAAACCAAAUAUGCCCUUGUGUCCGACUCAUGCUGAUGAUAGAUUCUGAAAUGUGGAUAUUUUAUGUGUUGCUUAACUACCUUCACAGUCACUCUAUGUGUGUGUGUGUGUUUAACUGAAUCACAAUUAAAAUAUCAAAGCAAUUGAAAACCAGAGUCAGGCUUUAUGUUAUAAAUACUAAUUCUUAGUUCAUCUUUUCAGCAUUAGACACUGUAUCCACUUGCAGACAAGUGUUACUGAGAACACAGAUUUUACCACUUCCAUUGCAUCAUGACAGAGAGGUAGAUUUCAAGAGACUGGCUAUUAACAUCCUGCUAUUUCUGGACACCAACUGGUAAAGUGAGCUUGACUUCUUCAGCACCUGAAAACCCCAAAGGAACUCCUUCCAAGCCUAGUAUUAAUCAUCUUCACACUUGUUCAUUUGUUCAUGUUUUGUCUCAAGGAAUUCACACACAGCGUAUUUAUUUUUGAAUCAAUCUUUGCAAGAACUAUCACCUUAGUGACAUACGGAUCAAAGAUUUACUGGAUGCUGAGCUGAAAAUAUCCCUGGAUGUCCACGGAGCCUCGAAUUACAUAGCCAUGAACUUCAUUGUUUGCGAGGUAACUUACUUCGUUUCACACUUUUGUCUCCUGAGGUCACCUCUUGUUUGUAAGAAUAUUAUCCUUCGUGCUAUUUCUACAUGGAAUCAACCUAGCCACGUGGGUGUAGCUCUAAUCUAUUUUAGAAGAUAAUGGGGAUGUACUCCAAUUCUCCACAUUCCUGAUUCUUCUACCAGCUCCUGAUUAAGGUGGCUACGUCUUAUCUUUCUCUUCCUUAAGUGUGUCAGGCGUGUAGAGUUGGGUACUGGUGGGAUAUCUGCCGGCUCCAUGUUCACAUUCUUCCUCUGAGGAUGGUUUCUCUCCAUGUAUACAAAAUUGGAUCCUAGGAAGCCAGGAUUAUACAACCUGACUUUAUCCCACAUCAACUGGACUAGAGUGGUCAGUCAUUUGACCCAUUCAGCACCAAUCAGUUUCUCUUUUCCUAGAAUUUGAAAUUCAGCAGUUCCUAUUCACAGUGGUCUAGUGUCUUGAACCACGAAAGUGUUACUUGGGGGAGAUGUGAGUAGUUAAGAGGAAUCACAUGUAAACCCAGAAAAAAAGAGCAGAUAUGGAGAAAAACUCCAAAGAAAAACAGUUGAGAACCUUGUCUGGUGAAUUUGUUAUCUAUUGCUGUACAACAAAUGACCCCAAAACUUAACAGAUUUAAACAGCAAACAUUGAUUAUCUCACAAUUUCUGAGGCUCAGAAAUCUGGGACUGGCUCAGCUGCUAACUGUGGCCCAGGGUCUUUCAUGAGUCUGCAGUCGAGACGUGAGCCCAGGCUGGAGAAGGCACUUCCAAACUCACGCUGCUGUCAGCAGCAGACUUCUAUUCUUGUCAUACAACCCCAGCCAUAGUGCUACUCACCUGACUGUAAUGUCCUUCAAGU